RNAcentral lists this ribosomal RNA (360 nucleotides) under Triticum aestivum (bread wheat). RNAcentral describes it as "partial small subunit ribosomal RNA". Lineage: Eukaryota; Viridiplantae; Streptophyta; Magnoliopsida; Poales; Poaceae. The record is from RNAcentral.
AUGGUUAGGCUGCUGCGCAGUCGAGACUUCAACGAAGCCAACGUCUACAAGAUGGAUUUCUCCGAGCAGCAAUGCCGCCCCGUCCGCGAUCUCGGCGGCCGCGCCUUCUUCGUCGCUCCGUUGAACUUCGGCGUGUCGUGCUUGGCUGGGGAUCGGUACGGGAUUCAGCACAACUGUGUCUACUCCUUGGUUAAGUUGGCUGACAAAUCUUUCAACAUGUUCAACGUGGAGGACGGGACAGCAAAGCGACGCGACAUCGGAGAAGCUUACGUUUCCGUUGCAAAACAUGGGACCAACACCCACCAUCCUAUGCUUGGAACGCAGCACAGAAUGCUAUGGAUGGUUCCAACCAGCCUCUAA